This 253-nucleotide ribosomal RNA is filed under the name uncultured bacterium. RNAcentral describes it as "partial 16S ribosomal RNA". It matches the Rfam family "Bacterial small subunit ribosomal RNA", at positions 524 to 776 of the family's 1533-position model. The record is from RNAcentral.
GACGAGCCUCACAAACGUUAUUCGGAAUUACUGGGCUUAAAGGGUGCGUAGGCGGCGCGGAAAGUUGGGUGUGAAAUCCUUCGGCUCAACCGAGGAAUUGCGCUCAAAACUACCGUGCUCGAGGGAGAUAGAGGAAUGCGGAACUUAGGGUGGAGCGGUGAAAUGCGUUGAUAUCCUAGGGAACACCGGUGGCGAAAGCGGCAUUCUGGAUCUCAUCUGACGCUGAUGCACGAAAGCUAGGGUAGCAAACAGG